UCACGGAUACGACCCCGGUCCCGACCCCC
This 29-nucleotide small RNA is filed under the name Bombyx mori (domestic silkworm). RNAcentral's name for it is "ovarian small RNA-6895". Lineage: Eukaryota; Metazoa; Arthropoda; Insecta; Lepidoptera; Bombycidae. The record is from RNAcentral.